RNAcentral lists this ribosomal RNA (361 nucleotides) under uncultured bacterium. RNAcentral describes it as "partial 16S ribosomal RNA". It matches the Rfam family "Bacterial small subunit ribosomal RNA", at positions 338 to 697 of the family's 1533-position model. The record is from RNAcentral.
CCUACGGGAGGCAGCAGUGAGGAAUAUUGGUCAAUGGCCGGAACGCUGAACCAGCCAAGCCGCGUGAGGGACGACUGCCCUCUGGGUUGUAAACCCCUUUUAUAAGGGCAGAAUAAAUGCUACGUGUAGCAUGAUGCCUGUACCUUAUGAAUAAGCAUCGGCAAACUCCGUGCCAGCAGCCGCGGUCAUACGGAGGAUGCGAGCGUUAUCCGGAUUUAUUGGGUUUAUGGGGUGCGUAGGCGGUUUGUUAAGUUAGUGGUUAAACGUCGGGGCUUCACCUUGAUUUGCCAUUAAUACUGUAAGACUCGAGUGCAGACGAGGUAGGCGGAAUAAGUAAAGUAGCGGUGAAAUGCUUAGAUAU